Molecule: ribosomal RNA, 460 nt
Filed under: uncultured bacterium
Lineage: Bacteria
Description: partial 16S ribosomal RNA
Rfam family: Bacterial small subunit ribosomal RNA
Source: RNAcentral
CCUACGGGAGGCAGCAGUGAGGAAUAUUGGUCAAUGGACGAGAGUCUGAACCAGCCAAGUAGCGUGAAGGAUGACUGCCCUAUGGGUUGUAAACUUCUUUUAUAUGGGAAUAAAACGUUCCACGUGUGGGAUUUUGUAUGUACCAUAUGAAUAAGGAUCGGCUAACUCCGUGCCAGCAGCCGCGGUAAUACGGAGGAUCCGAGCGUUAUCCGGAUUUAUUGGGUUUAAAGGGAGCGUAGGUGGAUUGUUAAGUCAGUUGUGAAAGUUUGCGGCUCAACCGUAAAAUUGCAGUUGAAACUGGCAGUCUUGAGUACAGUAGAGGUGGGCGGAAUUCGUGGUGUAGCGGUGAAAUGCUUAGAUAUCACGAAGAACUCCGAUUGCGAAGGCAGUUCACUGGACUUCAACUGACACUGAGGCUCGAAAGUGUGGGUAUCAAACAGGAUUAGAUACCCCUGUAGUC